Molecule: long non-coding RNA, 207 nt
Filed under: Lathyrus oleraceus (garden pea)
Lineage: Eukaryota; Viridiplantae; Streptophyta; Magnoliopsida; Fabales; Fabaceae
Description: Pisum sativum (pea) long non-coding RNA (PSAT_LNC007149)
Source: RNAcentral
AAGACAUCUAUAUACAUUUUUUAAUUAAAUUCUAUUAAAGUAUUUAAAUCAUAUCAUAUCUUAAAUUUAAAUAAAAAAAAAUCCAUUUCCCAUUUCUACCUCUGUAUCCGUUGAACGAAACCGAAAACUUGAUAGCAUAAAACCCGCUGAACUUCAUUCAACUGCAAAACGUUAAACCAAAGAAAAAACGAAGCAACUUUCGCACUU